This 495-nucleotide long non-coding RNA is filed under the name Lathyrus oleraceus (garden pea). RNAcentral's name for it is "Pisum sativum (pea) long non-coding RNA (PSAT_LNC010418)". The record is from RNAcentral. Lineage: Eukaryota; Viridiplantae; Streptophyta; Magnoliopsida; Fabales; Fabaceae.
CUUUUUUUUAAUGUCUCUAACUUUUGCCUGGAUCGCCCUUUCGGGUUUUCAAUCCACCGAGACGCUCCUUUUUUACCUAAGUCUCCCUUUGGGGUGUUCGACUUAGCGAGCUAUUCUUUUUUUUUGUUUAGGCGAAGUAUUUCUUGACUGCAUCAGAGUUCACAGGACGAGUGAACUUCCAUCCAUUGUUGUAAGUGUCAAAACAUUGCCUGAAGAGGCUGGACGUUCAUAGCUUGGAGUCCACUUGCCCCUGGACUUGGGCACGAAAGGCAAGACUUUCUUGAGCACAAGGUCCCUCGGAACACACGAGUCUUGACCUUCUUGUUUUCACUCUCUGCUAAUAUGACUGACCAUGACACAUGGCAGUUGAUCUCUUGUUUUCGAUCGAAUUCAGCAUCAGUCAACUUGGGACUUUGAGGGUGCUAUUUUUCUUUUAUUUCUUUCUUUCUUUUUUUUUUGCUUUUGAUUUCUUUUGAUUUUGCACCCUCCUCUUUU